CUCGGUAGCUAAGCGAGCGACGUGUGUGAGUGGAGAGACAUUCUUACGUGGUGUGUGUGUGUAAAGUUAGCCGGCAGUAGCCAGCAGUUCAUCUGCAUUUUUGAAAGACUGCAGAAAGAGGGUCUCAACGCUGAGGAGAUAUCCGAGCUGCAGCGGGAAAUUUAUAAAACGAAGCGACGUAGACGAUGUUAUGUCGCAGCAAAGAUUAAUCGACGGGAAGGUAAUUGAAUGUCGAAUACAAGUUGCGGAAAGAUCCGAAGUUGAAAAAGGUACAAGGUGCGAAAAAGGUACGAGGUACGAAAAAGGUGAACGCACCUUGAUAUUGGAAAUAGAGAAAUUAACCUUGAUAUUGGAAAUAGAGGACCUAAAGCUCCGAAGAAUUGGAAAACUUUUUACCAGUUUUUCCAUUGAAAACGCUAAAUGAUUGGCAUGAAUUUGAGACAUUAUUGUCAAACAACGCUGCUGCGCGUGAACAGCUUGAGAAAAUGUUUUCCACUCGUGGGGGAAAAAAUGGUGCUGAGCAUAUUCGACGAAUAUUACGAGCCGUGUUUUCGCCUUGUGUAGCAACAAAAAUAUCCUGGCAAGGACUCAAAAAGAAUGAAAAGUUCAACGGAACUUUCGUUUUACGUGCAUUAUUUAUUUCUGCAAAGCAGCAUUUCAAUAUUGACGAUAGGAAUGUGGAGUUAACCAUAAUUAACUGGUUCCGCCGUUCGUCUGAGAGGAUAAAAAACCCAGAAGACAAUAUCUGAAUGUAUAUUAUAUACCUACCUGAUAAAAUAAAACUUAAUUGUUUGUUUUUCUUCUCCUUUAUAUAUAUAUAUAUAUAUAAAAUAUGUCAAAGUGAA
This 845-nucleotide unclassified non-coding RNA is filed under the name Monomorium pharaonis (pharaoh ant). Its description in RNAcentral is "uncharacterized LOC118645683, transcript variant X3". The record is from RNAcentral. Lineage: Eukaryota; Metazoa; Arthropoda; Insecta; Hymenoptera; Formicidae.